Molecule: ribosomal RNA, 564 nt
Filed under: Metschnikowia sp. RW2-23
Lineage: Eukaryota; Fungi; Ascomycota; Pichiomycetes; Serinales; Metschnikowiaceae
Description: eukaryotic LSU rRNA
Rfam family: Eukaryotic large subunit ribosomal RNA
Source: RNAcentral
AAACCAACAGGGAUUGCCUCAGUAACGGCGAGUGAAGCGGCAAAAGCUCAAAUUUGAAAUCUUGGCUCCUCGGGGUCACGAGUUGUAAUUUGAAGGUUGAGUUGUUUGUUUCCAGUCAUCUUUAAGUCCAUUGGAACAUGGCGCCUUAGAGGGUGAGAGCCCCGUGAGAGAUGAUUUGGUUUCAUUAUACUUCUCUUCCGAAGAGUCGAGUUGUUUGGGAAUGCAGCUUUAAGUGGGUGGUAAAUUCCAUCUAAAGCUAAAUAUUGGCGAGAGACCGAUAGCGAACAAGUACAGUGAUGGAAAGAUGAAAAGCACUUUGAAAAGAGAGUGAAAAAGUACGUGAAAUUGUUGGAAGGGAAGGGCUUGCAAGCAGACACGAUCCUCUCGGGGAUUGGGCCAGCAUCGGUUGGCAAGGGGUGGAAAAGGCAGUAGGAAAUGUGGCUCGGUGCUUUUUGUGCUGAGUGUUAUAGACCUAUUGAGAUACACCCACUUCCGACCGAGGCCUGCGAUUAUUCUAGGAUGCUGGCGUAAUGGUUGCAAGUCGCCCGUCUUGAAACACGGACC